Molecule: non-coding RNA, 656 nt
Organism: Heterocephalus glaber (naked mole-rat)
Lineage: Eukaryota; Metazoa; Chordata; Mammalia; Rodentia; Bathyergidae
Source: RefSeq, a predicted model, not a curated record
UGUUAGCCUAUUGAAAAUCCAGAAGGCAGUUCAGUCAUAUAAAAGAUUAAUAGAACUUAAAAUAAGUCACUGUGAACUACUUAGAAGACAAAUUGAAAAAAUGGAAAAUAAAGUCACUGGACUACAAAAAGAGCUAUCAGAAACAAAAGAAGUGAAAUCACAGUUAGAACAUGAAAAAGUAGAACAGGAACAAGAACUCUGCAAUGUGAGAUUUGUCUUAAGACAAGAGAAAGAGAAGAGAGAAAAUGCAGAUUGGCUCUGUGAAAAAAAUAAAGACCAGUUAAGCAGAAAAGAAGAGCAAUAUAAUAGAGAAGUUAAAGUAAACCAACAACUUAAAAACUCCCUUAGGAUACUCCAUAUGGAAUUGAAGACCAUAGGAAAUAAUUUGGACCAGAUCCUGCUGAAUUUAAAUCUGGAUUCUUUCGAGCUAGGUUCCAAAAAUAAGUCAAAAUAAAAAUAAGUCCUCAAGAUCUACUUUUGGAAACAUCACAAGAAUAUCCAGCUCCUUUAAAGGAAAAUAUGAUCUGAAAGAUAAGAUUUUUAUUUAUUGGAUUGUUUAUACAAAAUUUUGUUGUCCAUUAUAUACUGUGAAAACUUUGAAGGAAAAAUAUUUUAUAUCCAUAUAUGUAUAAUGAAAAUUCCUAUAAUAUCUUAAA